AUUGAACGCUGGCGGCAGGCCUAACACAUGCAAGUCGAACGGUAACAGGAAGAAGCUUGCUUCUUUGCUGACGAGUGGCGGACGGGUGAGUAAUGUCUGGGAAACUGCCUGAUGGAGGGGGAUAACUACUGGAAACGGUAGCUAAUACCGCAUAACGUCGCAAGACCAAAGAGGGGGACCUUCGGGCCUCUUGCCAUCGGAUGUGCCCAGAUGGGAUUAGCUAGUAGGUGGGGUAACGGCUCACCUAGGCGACGAUCCCUAGCUGGUCUGAGAGGAUGACCAGCCACACUGGAACUGAGACACGGUCCAGACUCCUAUGGGAGGCAGCAGUGGGGAAUAUUGCACAAUGGGCGCAAGCCUGAUGCAGCCAUGCCGCGUGUAUGAAGAAGGCCUUCGGGUUGUAAAGUACUUUCAGCGGGGAGGAAGGGAGUAAAGUUAAUACCUUUGCUCAUUGACGUUACCCGCAGAAGAAGCACCGGCUAACUCCGUG
RNAcentral lists this ribosomal RNA (490 nucleotides) under uncultured bacterium. RNAcentral describes it as "partial 16S ribosomal RNA". It matches the Rfam family "Bacterial small subunit ribosomal RNA", at positions 30 to 507 of the family's 1533-position model. The record is from RNAcentral.